AAUAAAAGGUUGUCUUUAAUUUUAAACUACGACUGUUAUCCUGUUUUAAUGUCACCUUGCAAACCACAUUGCUUGUGUUAUACGCUCACAUUUAACGUGGACAUUUGUUGUCAUCGGCGUUCAAUGAUGGUCCACAAUCCAGUCUAUCAUCUAUGUCAGAUCUGUGAGAUCAAAGUUUAUUUCGGAUCAACUUGCCAGUGGUGCAAGACAAGGACAUCCCUCUAGUCUUUCGGAUGCAAAGGGCACCACCCCAGGAUCCACUACUGCCACAAGUAACAAAGUCAUCCAAAUUCCAGUCCUUCAGGUUUAAAGGGGAGCAUUUGAUCCUGCAUAUAUUUAAGCAUCUCAUAAUACCAAUAAAAAUAAUCAGCAAAGAAGGUGAUGACUGGUAGUGUUAACAUAAAUAUAUGAAAAAUGGAAGUUUUCAGUGAAAAAUUGGGAGAACUGGUAAAUUUAUAUCUUGAUUUACAGCGUAAUUUAACAUGGAAAGAUGUAGUUUUAUACUCAAGUGUUCCUGUUAUUACAUGGUAUACUUAUAGAAUAUUGAUACAACCAUUCUUAUCUCCUCUUAGAAAGAUUCCAGGAAGGCCAUAUGUACCUAUUGUUGGUAACAUGUUUGAAGCAUUACAGAAAGAAGCAAUGUCAAAUACAAUUGAGUAAGUAACUGAAUAGACAAACAACUUUAUUUGUAUGAAUUAUCAGCUCAGAGUUCUGUUAACCCUUUAGAUACCAUAUCAUCUUGAUCGUUUGCUACUUUUGAUAUUACCAAAUCGAACUGAUUGAUCGCCCCUGAAUUGACAGAG
This is a long non-coding RNA of Patella vulgata (common limpet), 803 nucleotides long. RefSeq lists it as uncharacterized. The transcript has 5 exons. NCBI's taxonomy places the organism in Eukaryota, Metazoa, Mollusca, Gastropoda, Patellidae. The record is from RefSeq and is a predicted model, not a curated record.